UAAACAGGGCUCAAGAUUAGCGGUAUCCCGAUAUCCACAGGAUACCAGAUUUCAAUUUUGGAUACUAGAUAUCAUAGGUUUAGUAUCCAGACAGGAUACUAAAAUAAAAACCCCAAAAUAUUGGCAAAGUUUGUACAUCGCAGCGAAAUGUUCGUCAAAAUAAUGUUUUUUGUUGUUGUUUGUCACACGAAAAUGGAAUGAACCUGAGCACAAGGUUAAUUUCUGCCUCUCGAUUUUCGGCAGUGAUUGCUCAGAGCAUAACCAAUGAUUACGCGCAAUUUCCUGUCGCCAUCGCAACGUAAUGAAAUUUGACUUGUGUUUCUAUAUAUGCCUAUGGUUUUUCCCUGCAAGCACGAGAUAAAAAUCAUAUGAUACCACUUAUCGAAAUACCUACUACCCAAAUCUGGGAUACUAAAUUUCAAAUAGGGAUACUAGAUUUCAAGACCCUAGUAUCCACUUGGAUACCAGUUAAAAAUUCAAAUCUUGAGCCCUGG
Molecule: non-coding RNA, 494 nt
Organism: Paramuricea clavata
Lineage: Eukaryota; Metazoa; Cnidaria; Anthozoa; Malacalcyonacea; Plexauridae
Source: the annotation of a GenBank genome assembly